GUAGGGGGCGAGCGUUGUCCGAAUUUACUGGGCGUAAAGCGCGUGUAGGCGGUCCUUUAAGUCAGGUGUGAAAUCCUGUGGCUCAACCACAGAACUGCACUUGAAACUGAAGGGCUUGAGUGUGGGAGAGGAAAGUGGAAUUCCUGGUGUAGCGGUGAAAUGCGUAGAUAUCAGGAGGAACACCCGUGGCGAAGGCGGCUUUCUGGCCCACCACUGACGCUGAGACGCGAAAGCUAGGGGAGCGAACGGGAUUAGAUACCCCGGUAGUCCUAGCCGUAACCGAUGGAUACUAGGUGUUAGAGGUAUCGACCCCUCUAGUGCCGUAGCUAACGCAUUAAGUAUCCCGCCUGGGGAGUACGGCCGCAAGGUUG
This 371-nucleotide ribosomal RNA is filed under the name uncultured bacterium. Its description in RNAcentral is "bacterial SSU rRNA". It matches the Rfam family "Bacterial small subunit ribosomal RNA", at positions 527 to 896 of the family's 1533-position model. The record is from RNAcentral.